This 72-nucleotide transfer RNA is filed under the name Endocarpon pusillum. RNAcentral describes it as "tRNA-His (GTG) (tRNA-His-GTG-1-1)". It matches the Rfam family "tRNA". Rfam says of the family: Transfer RNA (tRNA) molecules are approximately 80 nucleotides in length. Their secondary structure includes four short double-helical elements and three loops (D, anti-codon, and T loops). Lineage: Eukaryota; Fungi; Ascomycota; Eurotiomycetes; Verrucariales; Verrucariaceae. RNAcentral also lists the same sequence under 1 other name. The record is from RNAcentral.
GGUGCUAUAGUUCAGUGGUCAGAACACCUCGUUGUGGCCGAGGAAACGUGUGUUCGAUUCACACUAGCGCCA